AGCUGGGACCGAGCAUGCCGGCGAGCGACCAUGGUAAAGGUAUCGCACCCUAGACAGUGGCCACCCGAGUCGAGUUGUUUUACAUUUUGUUAGUAAUUUACCUAUGAUCAUCUUUUGUACUUGAUGACUAGUGAUGUAAAGCAAAGAAUGUAAAGUUUGUUUUGAGUUAAUGUGAUGUAAGAAAGAAAUGAUGAAAAGUAUGUAAAGAAUUAUGAAUGUACAAGUCAAGUGACAAGUAUGUG
RNAcentral lists this long non-coding RNA (242 nucleotides) under Ananas comosus (pineapple). RNAcentral describes it as "long non-coding RNA (ACOM_LNC003555)". The record is from RNAcentral. Lineage: Eukaryota; Viridiplantae; Streptophyta; Magnoliopsida; Poales; Bromeliaceae.